CCUACGGGGUGCAGCAGUGAGGAAUAUUGGUCAAUGGCCGAGAGGCUGAACCAGCCAAGUCGCGUGAGGGAAGAAUGUCCUAAGGAUUGUAAACCUCUUUUGUCGGGGAGCAAAAAGGCUCUGCGGAGUCGUAUUGAGAGUACCCGAAGAAAAAGCAUCGGCUAACUCCGUGCCAGCAGCCGCGGUAAUACGGAGGAUGCGAGCGUUAUCCGGAUUUAUUGGGUUUAAAGGGUGCGCAGGCGGAAUGUCAAGUCAGCGGUAAAAUUUCGGGGCUCAACCCCGUCGUGCCGUUGAAACUGGCGUUCUUGAGUGAGCGAGAAGUAUGCGGAAUGCGUGGUGUAGCGGUGAAAUGCAUAGAUAUCACGCAGAACUCCGAUUGCGAAGGCAGCAUACCGGCGCUCAACUGACGCUCAUGCACGAAAGCGUGGGUAUCGAACAGGAUUAGAUACCCUAGUAGUC
This 459-nucleotide ribosomal RNA is filed under the name uncultured bacterium. Its description in RNAcentral is "partial 16S ribosomal RNA". It matches the Rfam family "Bacterial small subunit ribosomal RNA", at positions 338 to 795 of the family's 1533-position model. The record is from RNAcentral.